GUAGGGAAUAUUAGAAAUGGACGAAAGUCUGAUCUAGCAACACCGCGUGUGCGAAGAAGGCCUUCGGGUUGUAAAGCACUUUUUGGAAGGAUUAGGAAGGAAUGUACUUCCAGAAUAAGUCUCGGCUAACUACGUGCCAGCAGCCGCGGUAACACGUAGGAGGCAAACGUUAUCCGGAUUUACUGGGCGUAAAGCGCGUGUAGGUGGUUCUGUAAGUAGGGCGUGAAAGCUCCUGGCUCAACUGGGAGAGGCCGUUCUAAACUGCAGAGCUAGAGGAUGGUAGAGGGAGGUGGAAUUCCGGGUGUAGCGGUGGAAUGCGCAGAUAUCCGGAGGAACACCAGUGGCGAAAGCGGCCUCCUGGACCAUUCCUGACACUCAGACGCGAAAGCUAGGGUAGCAAACGGGAUUAGAUACCCUGGUAGUCC
RNAcentral lists this ribosomal RNA (425 nucleotides) under uncultured bacterium. Its description in RNAcentral is "partial 16S ribosomal RNA". It matches the Rfam family "Bacterial small subunit ribosomal RNA", at positions 354 to 796 of the family's 1533-position model. The record is from RNAcentral.